RNAcentral lists this ribosomal RNA (1046 nucleotides) under uncultured bacterium. RNAcentral describes it as "bacterial SSU rRNA". It matches the Rfam family "Bacterial small subunit ribosomal RNA", at positions 9 to 1044 of the family's 1533-position model. The record is from RNAcentral.
GAGUUUGAUCAUGGCUCAGAUUGAACGCUGGCGGCAUGCUUUACACAUGCAAGUCGGACGGCAGCACAGAGAAGCUUGCUUCUUGGGUGGCGAGUGGCGAACGGGUGAGUAACAUAUCGGAACGUACCGAGUAAUGGGGGAUAACUAAUCGAAAGAUUAGCUAAUACCGCAUAUUCUCUGAGGAGGAAAGCAGGGGACCUUCGGGCCUUGCGUUAUUUGAGCGGCCGAUAUCUGAUUAGCUAGUUGGUGGGGUAAAGGCCUACCAAGGCGACGAUCAGUAGCGGGUCUGAGAGGAUGAUCCGCCACACUGGGACUGAGACACGGCCCAGACUCCUACGGGAGGCAGCAGUGGGGAAUUUUGGACAAUGGGCGCAAGCCUGAUCCAGCCAUGCCGCGUGUCUGAAGAAGGCCUUCGGGUUGUAAAGGACUUUUGUCAGGGAAGAAAAGGACAGGGUUAAUACCCCUGUCUGAUGACGGUACCUGAAGAAUAAGCACCGGCUAACUACGUGCCAGCAGCCGCGGUAAUACGUAGGGUGCGAGCGUUAAUCGGAAUUACUGGGCGUAAAGCGAGCGCAGACGGUUACUUAAGCAGGAUGUGAAAUCCCCGGGCUCAACCUGGGAACUGCGUUCUGAACUGGGUGACUAGAGUGUGUCAGAGGGAGGUAGAAUUCCACGUGUAGCAGUGAAAUGCGUAGAGAUGUGGAGGAAUACCGAUGGCGAAGGCAGCCUCCUGGGAUAACACUGACGUUCAUGCUCGAAAGCGUGGGUAGCAAACAGGGAUUAGAUACCCUGGUAGUCCACGCCCUAAACGAUGUCAAUUAGCUGUUGGGCAACUUGAUUGCUUAGUAGGCGUAGCUAACGCGUGAAAUUGACCGCCUGGGGAGUACGGGUCGCAAAGAUUAAACUCAAAAGGAAUUGACGGGGACCCGGCACAGCGGUGGAUGAUGUGGAUUAUUCGAUGGCACGCGAGGAACUUUACUGGUCUUGAAUGUACGGGACCCUCAAGAGACGGAGGGGUGCCUUCGGGAGCCUAACACCAGUGCUGC